Molecule: ribosomal RNA, 843 nt
Filed under: uncultured bacterium
Lineage: Bacteria
Description: bacterial SSU rRNA
Rfam family: Bacterial small subunit ribosomal RNA
Source: RNAcentral
AGAGUUUGAUCCUGGCUCAGGAUGAACGCUAGCUACAGGCUUAACACAUGCAAGUCGAGGGGCAUCAUGGAGUUUGCUUGCAAACUCUGACGGCAACCGGCGCACGGGUGAGUAACGCGUAUCCAACCUUCCCUAUAGUAGUGGAUAGCCCGGCGAAAGUCGGAUUAAUACACUAUGUUAUUCAACGAGGACAUCUGAAAUGAAUCAAAGGCUUGCCGCUAUAGGAUGGGGAUGCGUCUGAUUAGAUAGUAGGCGGGGUAACGGCCCACCUAGUCUACGAUCAGUAGGGGUUCUGAGAGGAAGGUCCCCCACAUUGGAACUGAGACACGGUCCAAACUCCUACGGGAGGCAGCAGUGAGGAAUAUUGGUCAAUGGGCGAGAGCCUGAACCAGCCAAGUAGCGUGCAGGAUGACGGCCCUAUGGGUUGUAAACUGCUUUUAUGCGGGGAUAAAGUUCACUACGUGUAGUGUUUUGUAGGUACCGCAUGAAUAAGGACCGGCUAAUUCCGUGCCAGCAGCCGCGGUAAUACGGAAGGUCCGGGCGUUAUCCGGAUUUAUUGGGUUUAAAGGGAGCGCAGGCCGGAGGUCAAGCGUGACGUGAAAUGUAGCCGCUCAACGGCUGAACUGCGUCGCGAACUGGCUUUCUUGAGUGAGUUCGAUGUGGGCGGAAUUCGUGGUGUAGCGGUGAAAUGCUUAGAUAUCACGAAGAACUCCGAUUGCGAAGGCAGCCCACAAGGCCUUUACUGACGCUAAAGCUCGAAGGUGCGGGUAUCGAACAGGAUUAGAUACCCUGGUAGUCCGCACGGUAAACGAUAAAGGCCGCUGUUUGCGAUAUACUGUGAGC